GUCCGGUUCUUCCAACAGCAGGAUGCCUCGCUCACAUCGAGGCGAUGGGGGUGCAACUCCCUCACUGGACACCA
This 74-nucleotide transfer RNA is filed under the name Planctomycetaceae bacterium. RNAcentral's name for it is "tRNA-Val". It matches the Rfam family "tRNA". Rfam says of the family: Transfer RNA (tRNA) molecules are approximately 80 nucleotides in length. The record is from RNAcentral. Lineage: Bacteria; Pseudomonadati; Planctomycetota; Planctomycetia; Planctomycetales; Planctomycetaceae.